GUCAUAGUUCCGGCCAGAACGGUCUGGACGUGGACAGGGUUGAUAGCUCUUUCUCAUUGCGUGGGUGGGUGGGGUAUGGCCAGUUUUAGUUGGUGAAGCGAUUUUGUCUGGUGAAUUGUGAUAAACGAGACUCCGGCAUGCUAACUAGUUAGGUGACUCCCAAGCAGUCUGCAUCCCCCAACUUCUUAGGGGGACAGUGGUGGUCAGCCACCUGCGACUGAGCUAUAACAGGUCUGAGAUGUUCUCAGAGGUGGGGGCUGCGUGUUCGGUACACUGAGUGGCUCAGUGGGUGCCUACUCAAUGCCAGCGGUGUAGGAAACCCAUUGGUGAUGGGAAUCGGGGCGUGCAGUUAUGCCCUGUGACUGAGGAAUUCCCAGUAAGUGAGGGUCAUAAGUCCCUGCC
RNAcentral lists this non-coding RNA (402 nucleotides) under Equus caballus (horse). RNAcentral's name for it is "Eukaryotic small subunit ribosomal RNA". It matches the Rfam family "Eukaryotic small subunit ribosomal RNA", at positions 1207 to 1642 of the family's 1831-position model. The record is from Rfam by way of RNAcentral. Lineage: Eukaryota; Metazoa; Chordata; Mammalia; Perissodactyla; Equidae.